Non-coding RNA from Pan troglodytes (chimpanzee), 91 nucleotides. The record is from Rfam. Lineage: Eukaryota; Metazoa; Chordata; Mammalia; Primates; Hominidae.
AUCCUUUUGUAGUUCACAGCACGAUGACUGGGUUUUUAUGUUCAUGUGUGAGAUGCACCCCUUCAGACUUUUUUACGAUGUCUGGUGGAUU